Molecule: ribosomal RNA, 502 nt
Filed under: uncultured fungus
Lineage: Eukaryota; Fungi
Description: eukaryotic LSU rRNA
Rfam family: 5.8S ribosomal RNA (bases 159-312)
Source: RNAcentral
AGGGAUCAUUACUGAGUGAGGGUUUCGGCCCGACCUCCAACCCCUAUGUAUUCCGACUCUGUUGCCUCGGGGGCGACCCUGCCUUCGGGCGUUGGGGCCCCCGGUGGACACCAUAACUCUGCAUCUUUGCGUCUGAGUAACAUUUUGAAUUAAAUCAAAACUUUCAACAACGGAUCUCUUGGUUCUGGCAUCGAUGAAGGACGCAGCGAAAUGCGAUAAGUAAUGUGAAUUGCAGAAUUCAGUGAAUCAUCGAAUCUUUGAACGUACAUUGCGCCCCUUGGUAUUCCGAGGGGCAUGCCUGUUCGAGCGUCAUUACACCACUCAAGCCUCGCUUGGUAUUGGGCGCCGCGCUUCGGCGCGCGCCUCAAUGUAUCCGGCUGAGCCGUCCGUCUCUAAGCGUUGUGGCACUAUGUUUCCGCUUCGGAGGUCGGGAGGUCUCGCGCCGUUAAACACCCCAUCAAAGGUUGACCUCGGAUCAGGUAGGGAUACCCGCUGAACUUAA